This 267-nucleotide small nuclear RNA is filed under the name Microtus ochrogaster (prairie vole). Its description in RNAcentral is "7SK RNA (ENSMOCG00000011012.1)". It matches the Rfam family "7SK RNA". Rfam says of the family: 7SK was discovered as an abundant small nuclear RNA in the mid-70s but a possible function has only recently been suggested. Two independent studies have found that 7SK RNA binds the CDK9/cyclin T complex (known as elongation factor P-TEFb). P-TEFb activates transcription by phosphorylating the C-terminal domain of RNA polymerase II. Lineage: Eukaryota; Metazoa; Chordata; Mammalia; Rodentia; Cricetidae. The record is from RNAcentral.
AUAUGUGAGCGUAUAUCUCCUGUUGAUUGCCAGGGUUGAAAUGGCUGAUAUGGCUUGCUUACUGGGUGUCCUCUUCUUCCUCACUACUCCAGGUGCAUCCCUCCUAAAGCUGUGCUUCACUUUCCAUACAUGAUGAGGAUAACCUUUUAUGAAAGUUUUCAGUCCAUGGUAUAUGGGUAGCCAUUAAACCCGCUGGAACCAUGUAAACAUAGGCUUUCUUGUCUGUUAAGAGAAAAAACUAUGAUAUUUACUUGAAGAAUUGUGGUU